UUACAAGGUGAACAAGUAGAUUGUGUUGUGAUUGGCUCAUAUUUUGAGUUGUUAACAAUUAAGUGACUUUGUGUGUUAUGCUUUCGGAAUAGUGGCCAAAUAUGUCCAUAUCUCAUUUUGGCUAAUAGUGGAAGACAAUGAUGAUGUUUCAUAGGAUUCCUUUGUUUUGGCAUUUUUUAUUCAUUUCCCAUUUGCAUGCCGAAAGUGGUUUUGGGUUUUGAGAAAAGGGAGCAUGAUGGAUCAUCAUUGUGUCUAUGUAAAAAAGGAGAGGUUGACUCACUUUUCUGUCCAUUUAAUUGCAAAGAGCCGAAGUAGAGAAAUAAAGAGAGAGAGCAUCCGAAGGAGAACACAAAGGAGAGAAAAUAUAGAGUAAGAGUGAGAAACUCUUGGGGAGAGGAGUCUUUUAGUAAAAUUCUGUGAGGGUACAAGGGAUUGGGGUUUGGGUUAUGUCGAUUUAACUCAAGUGUAACUUGUACUGUUAUUCUCAUAGUGAAGAGCAAUAUCUCUCCGGGGACGUAGGCAGGUUUUUGCCGAACCUCGUAAAUUUCUCGGUGUCUUUAUUUCUUGUAUUUUAAAUUGUUCAACUGUGGGUUUAUAAGUUGGUGAGAUAACAGGCCAAAGCACAACAAUUGGUAUCAGAGCUUUGUUGGAAGCUUUGGUUCAUCGAAGGUCCAGAUUUGUUAUUCACCAUGAUGACUACAAACAUGUCAUUUUCAGUUGAGAAGUUUAAUGGGAAAGACAAUUUUACUCUUUGGCAGAUGAGAGUAAAGGAUGUCUUGACUCAACAAGGCUUGGCUAGAGCUUUGAAGGGAAAAGAUGGGAAGCCUCAAGAAAUGACAGAUGACCAGUGGGAGGAGCUGGAGGCGCGUUGUGUUAGCACGAUUCGACACUGUAUAACUGAUAACAUUAUCAAUAAUGUUAUGGAUGAAGAUUCUGCGCCUGCACUUUGGGAGAAGUUGGAAAAACUCUAUAUUGCUAAGAGUUUGACCAACAAGUUGCAUUUGAAACGGAAACUGUACAAGCUGAAGAUGGAUGAAUGUGAGAAUCUCAUGGACCACAUGAAUGUGUUCAACGGAUACUUGGAUCAAUUGAGGAAAGUUGAUGUCAAGGUUGAGGAAGAAGACAAAGCCCUCUUACUUCUUACCUCACUUCCAGAUUCGUAUGAAAAUCUUGUGACAACCUUACUGCAUGGAAAAGAUACAGUAAGUUUGGAGCAGGUGCAAGCUUCUUUGGUGUCUUAUGAUACACAAAAGAAGAAGACCAUUGUUGAUGGUGGGCACGAGACUGCUUUAGCUGUUCAAGGUUGGAAUCGUGGAAGAAAAUUGGGAGAAGGAUCUGAGAGAGACAACAGGUUCAAAUCCGGUUCCGGAGGCAAGGGUCUACAAUGCUACAACUGCAAAGAAUUCGGGCAUAAAAAGAUAAAUUGUCCUUUGAGAAAAAGAAAGGAUGAUCUUGGUCCGAGUAGUAGCAAUUUUGUGGCAGAAGACUUCGAGUAUGCCCUCUAGGUACUCGAAGCAACACUUCUCUUGGUGAUGUUUAGUCUCGAGUGUUGCAAGGGAUUUGCACCAGGUGGAGCUAUGGGAUUCACAGGUGAUGAGAUGGUCUUGAAGGAAGAGAAGUGUGGGGAAUUUUGUCUGGCUCGAUGGGUUGUUGUUGGAAACGGGUGCACUGACGAGUUUCCAAGUUGCAGACAAUAAAGAAGGGGAAAAAAACUGUUGGAGGAGACGAGGAUGUGUCGAGAUCCUGUCUGAAACUAAAAUUGUGAUUUUUAGCUUGCAGCAGCUGCACAUGCAUUGGCAGUGACUGAAUCGGAACAGGACCAACGAGGUUUAUUCAGUGUGUGUAUGCUGGUACGUAAGGCCAAUGGACUUUGGUGAUGGGUGCAAGGAUUUUUUGCACAGUAUAUUCGCCAAGGUGGAGAUUGUUGUGAUUGGCUCAUAUUUUGAGUUGUUAACAAUUAAGUGACUUUGUGUGUUAUGCUUUCGAAAUAGUGGCCAAAUAUGUCCAUAUCUCAUUUCCACUAAUAGUGGAAGACAAUGAUGAUGUUUCAUAGGAUUCCUUUGUUUUGGCAUUUUUUACUCAUUUCCCAUUUGCAUGCCGAAAGUGGUUUUGGGUUUUGAGAAAAGGGAGCAUGAUGGAUCAUCAUUGUGUCUAUGUAAAAAAGGAGGUUGACUCACUUUUCUGUCCAUUUAAUUGCAAAGAGCCGAAGUAGAGAAAUAAAGAGAGAGAGCAUCCGAAGGAGAACACAAAGGAGAGAAAAUAUAGAGUAAGAGUGAGAAACUCUUGGGGAGAGUGAGUCUCUUAGUAAAAUUCUGUGAGGGUACAAGGGAUUGGGGUUUGGGUUAUGUCGAUUUAACUCAAGUGUAACUUGUACUGUUAUUCUCAUAGUGAAGAGCAAUAUCUCUCCGGGGACGUAGGCAGGUUUUU
Molecule: long non-coding RNA, 2427 nt
Filed under: Malus domestica (apple)
Lineage: Eukaryota; Viridiplantae; Streptophyta; Magnoliopsida; Rosales; Rosaceae
Description: long non-coding RNA (MDOM_LNC010011)
Source: RNAcentral